CCUACGGGAGGCAGCAGUGGGGAAUAUUGCACAAUGGGGGAAAGCCUGAUGCAGCGACGCCGCGUGAGUGAAGAAGUAAUUCGUUACGUAAAGCUCUAUCAGCAGAGAAGAAAAUGACGGUACGUGAGUAAGAAGCCCCGGCUAAAUACGUGCCAGCAGCCGCGGUCAUACGUAGGGGGCAAGCGGUAUCCGGAUUUACGGGGUGUAAAGGGAGCGUAGACGGUGGGCCAAGUAUGAAGUGAAAGGCGGGGGCCCAACCCCCGGACUGAGUUGGAAACUGUAUGGCUGGAGUGCAGGAGAGGUAAGUGGAAUUCCUAGUGUAGCGGUGAAAUGCGUAGAUAUUAGGAGGAACACCAGUGGCGAAGGCGGCGUACUGGACUGUAACUGACGUUGAGGCGCGAAAGCGUGGGGAGCAAACAGGAUUAGAUACCCCUGUAGUC
This 440-nucleotide ribosomal RNA is filed under the name uncultured bacterium. RNAcentral describes it as "partial 16S ribosomal RNA". It matches the Rfam family "Bacterial small subunit ribosomal RNA", at positions 338 to 795 of the family's 1533-position model. The record is from RNAcentral.